This 578-nucleotide ribosomal RNA is filed under the name uncultured bacterium. RNAcentral's name for it is "bacterial SSU rRNA". It matches the Rfam family "Bacterial small subunit ribosomal RNA", at positions 316 to 912 of the family's 1533-position model. The record is from RNAcentral.
GGACUGAGACACGGCCCAAACUCCUACGGGAGGCAGCAGUGGGGAAUAUUGGACAAUGGGCGCAAGCCUGAUCCAGCCAUGCCGCGUGAGUGAUGACGGCCUUAGGGUUGUAAAGCUCUUUCGCUCGGGACGAUAAUGACGGUACCGAGAUAAGAAGCCCCGGCUAACUUCGUGCCAGCAGCCGCGGUAAUACGAAGGGGGCUAGCGUUGUUCGGAAUUACUGGGCGUAAAGCGCGUGUAGGCGGGUCUUUAAGUCAGGGGUGAAAUGCCAAGGCUCAACCUUGGAACUGCCUUUGAUACUGGAGAUCUUGAGUCCGGGAGAGGUGAGUGGAAUUGCGAGUGUAGAGGUGAAAUUCGUAGAUAUUCGCAGGAACACCAGUGGCGAAGGCGGCUCACUGGCCCGGAACUGACGCUGAGACGCGAAAGCGUGGGGAGCAAACAGGAUUAGAUACCCUGGUAGUCCACGCUGUAAACGAUGGAUGCUAGCCGUUGGGGAGCUUGCUCUUCAGUGGCGCAGCUAACGCUUUAAGCAUCCCGCCUGGGGAGUACGGUCGCAAGAUUAAAACUCAAAGGAAUGA